AGACCUAGCUGCUAUCGAAGCUCCAUCUACAAAUGGAUAAGAUCCCAGUCUAGUCUAUAGGAGGUUUUGAAAAGAAAGGAGCAAUAACCAUUUUCUUGUUUUAUCAAGAGGGUGCUAUUGCUCCUUUCUUUUUUUUUUUUUUCUUUAUUAAUUUCCUAUCUUUAUUAAUUUCCUAGUAUUUGACUGACAUAGACUUUUUUGUUUACUUUAUAGAACAUUAUAGAAAAAGCAGGAGAGGGUAUUUGCCUGCAUUUAUUCAUGAUUGAGUAUUCGAUUUUUAUUUUCUAUUUAUUUCAAAUUGUAGAAAUAUAACUUGUUCCUCUUGUUGCUAAUGUUACUAUAUUUUUUUUAUUUCAUUUCACACAAAAAAUCUAAUUUUGACCUCAUAUCUUUGAAAUAAUAAUAGAAAUAAUACUAUGCAUUGAAAUAAGUGAAAUAAGAAAGAAGAGAAAUAUUCGAACUUGAAUCUUUUGUUUUCGAAUUUAAAUAAUGUAAAAAUGGAAUGUCAUCAGUAGGGGAGGGGGCGGAUGUAGCCAAG
RNAcentral lists this unclassified non-coding RNA (538 nucleotides) under Solanum furfuraceum. RNAcentral's name for it is "partial miscellaneous RNA". Lineage: Eukaryota; Viridiplantae; Streptophyta; Magnoliopsida; Solanales; Solanaceae. The record is from RNAcentral.